This 233-nucleotide long non-coding RNA is filed under the name Panax ginseng (ginseng). RNAcentral describes it as "long non-coding RNA (PGIN_LNC007103)". Lineage: Eukaryota; Viridiplantae; Streptophyta; Magnoliopsida; Apiales; Araliaceae. The record is from RNAcentral.
UCCUCUGUAACUCAGCCUCAGUCACGAUAGAGGGAGUAUUGGCAUGCGAGAAGCGCUCAGUGCUCCUGUAGUACUCGGAGGGGGUUUUGGGAGUUUUUGGGAGAGGAUUCUUGUCGGUUUUCGACCCCUUUGGAUUCGAGGCCGAAGUUUCUUCGUGAGCGGUAGGGUUUGGCGGAACAACAGUGAUCGGUGUUACUAGUAUGGGAGAACCUUGUUCAGAAUUUUGGGAAGCC